UACGGGGGGAGCAAGCGUUGUUCGGAUUUACUGGGCGUAAAGGGCGCGUAGGCGGUCGUGACAAGUCACUUGUGAAAUCUCCGGGCUUAACUCGGAACGGUCAAGUGAUACUGUCGGACUAGAGUACAGAAGGGGCAACUGGAAUUCUCGGUGUAGCGGUGAAAUGCGUAGAUAUCGAGAGGAACACCUGCGGCGAAGGCGGGUUGCUGGGCUGAUACUGACGCUGAGGCGCGAAAGCCCAGGGGAGCAAACAGG
Molecule: ribosomal RNA, 255 nt
Filed under: uncultured bacterium
Lineage: Bacteria
Description: partial 16S ribosomal RNA
Rfam family: Bacterial small subunit ribosomal RNA
Source: RNAcentral